This 306-nucleotide ribosomal RNA is filed under the name uncultured bacterium. Its description in RNAcentral is "partial 16S ribosomal RNA". It matches the Rfam family "Bacterial small subunit ribosomal RNA", at positions 507 to 807 of the family's 1533-position model. The record is from RNAcentral.
GACAGCAGCAGCCGCGGUAAUACGUAGGUGACGAGCGUUGUCCGGAAUUAUUGGGCGUAAAGGGAGCGCAGGCGGUUGGAAUAGUCUGAUGUGAAAGCCCACGGCUUAACCGUGGAAGGUCAUUGGAAACUGUCCAACUUGAAUGCAGAAGAGGAAAGUGGAAUUCCAUGUGUAGCGGUGAAAUGCGUAGAUAUAUGGAGGAACACCAGUGGCGAAGGCGACUUUCUGGUCUGUAAUUGACGUUGAGGCUCGAAAGCGUGGGUAGCGAACAGGAUUAGAUACCCGAGUAGUCCCUGUCUCUUAUAC